Molecule: long non-coding RNA, 681 nt
Filed under: Ananas comosus (pineapple)
Lineage: Eukaryota; Viridiplantae; Streptophyta; Magnoliopsida; Poales; Bromeliaceae
Description: long non-coding RNA (ACOM_LNC025195)
Source: RNAcentral
UAUGUAAAUUAUUUUCUAGAUCCUAACACCACAACUAGGUUAUGGGGACACAUGUUUGGGACACAUGUUUGGGACACUUUUGUGUAAGUGUCUCAUUUGUGCCAAAAUUUUUUUAAAAAUAUAUUAAUGCCUAAAUAUAAAGCCCAAUCCAACAAAAAAAAAAAGGUUACUCUACUUAACCCACCCCAUCCAGCCUGUUUAGCCCGAUUACAAACAGAAAAGAAAAAAAAAAUGAAAAAUUGAUUACCAUCUCUUCUUCUUCCCUCACUCAAUCCACUGAAAUUCUAGACGAAGAGCCCUUCCCUCCCCUCCUCCUCCGCCACGGCAGCAACGAGCUAGAGUUCCGGCGAUUGCUAAAUGCUUAAAUAAGUGUUGGUAAAUUAGCAACACUCUUUUUAGCUUAUAGCGACACUCUUUAACUGUCACUAUAUACCUAGCGACCCCACAUAUAGCAAUAUUUUUUAAAAGUGUCGGUAAUUUAGCAAGUAAUAUUUUUUUUAGCUGUACCGAUAUUUAAAAGUAUCGUUAUAGACCGUUUUUGUUGUAGUGUAAUAAAAUGUGCCCUAAUUUUCAAUAAAACUGAUCAGUUCCUUGCGAGAGGUGCAAAAUUAGAAGUUAAAUAGCUUCUUCGCUCAGGAAUAAAAACUUCACCUCUCAGAGCGUGUCUAAAUUUAGGAUUCG